UACGUAGGGCGCAAGCGUUGUCCGGAAUUAUUGGGCGUAAAGAGCUCGUAGGCGGCCAGUUGCGUCUGCUGUGAAAUCCCGGGGCUCAACCCCGGGCGUGCAGUGGAUACGGGCUGGCUAGAGGCAGGCAGGGGAGAACGGAAUUCCCGGUGUAGCGGUGAAAUGCGCAGAUAUCGGGAGGAACACCGGUGGCGAAGGCGGUUCUCUGGGCCUGUACUGACGCUGAGGAGCGAAAGCGUGGGGAGCGAGCAGG
RNAcentral lists this ribosomal RNA (253 nucleotides) under uncultured bacterium. RNAcentral's name for it is "partial 16S ribosomal RNA". It matches the Rfam family "Bacterial small subunit ribosomal RNA", at positions 524 to 776 of the family's 1533-position model. The record is from RNAcentral.